UACGGGGGGAGCAAGCGUUGUUCGGAUUUACUGGGCGUAAAGGGCGCGUAGGCGGUCAGCACAAGUCAGUUGUGAAAUCUCCGGGCUUAACUCGGAAAGGUCAACUGAUACUGUGCGACUAGAGUGCGGAAGGGGCAACUGGAAUUCUCGGUGUAGCGGUGAAAUGCGUAGAUAUCGGGAGGAACACCUGCGGCGAAGGCGGGUUGCUGGGCCGACACUGACGCUGAUGCGCGAAAGCCAGGGGAGCGAACGGG
RNAcentral lists this ribosomal RNA (254 nucleotides) under uncultured bacterium. Its description in RNAcentral is "partial 16S ribosomal RNA". It matches the Rfam family "Bacterial small subunit ribosomal RNA", at positions 524 to 776 of the family's 1533-position model. The record is from RNAcentral.